Molecule: non-coding RNA, 97 nt
Organism: Aureimonas sp.
Lineage: Bacteria; Pseudomonadati; Pseudomonadota; Alphaproteobacteria; Hyphomicrobiales; Aurantimonadaceae
Rfam family: Bacterial small signal recognition particle RNA
About the family: The signal recognition particle (SRP) is a universally conserved ribonucleoprotein involved in the co-translational targeting of proteins to membranes. Archaeal SRP consists of a 7S RNA and homologues of the eukaryotic SRP19 and SRP54 proteins.
Source: Rfam
GGAGGUUGGUGGUGGACGAGCCGCUCGCCAACCGGGUCAGGUCCGGAAGGAAGCAGCCCAGGUGAAUCCGGCGCGGGUCAUCGUGCCAGCCUCCCAC